AGAGUUUGAUCAUGGCUCAGAUUGAACGCUGGCGGAAUGCUUUACACAUGCAAGUCGAACGGCAGCACGGAGAGCUUGCUCUCUGGUGGCGAGUGGCGAACGGGUGAGUAAUAUAUCGGAACGUGUCCAAUAAUGGGGGAUAACGAGUCGAAAGAUUCGCUAAUACCGCAUACGCCCUACGGGGGAAAGCAGGGGAUCGUAAGACCUUGCGUUAAUGGAGCGGCCGAUAUCUGAUUAGCUUGUUGGUGAGGUAAAGGCUCACCAAGGCGACGAUCAGUAGCUGGUUUGAGAGAACGACCAGCCACACUGGAACUGAGACACGGUCCAGACUCCUACGGGAGGCAGCAGUGGGGAAUUUUGGACAAUGGGGGCAACCCUGAUCCAGCCAUUCCGCGUGAGUGAAGAAGGCCUUCGGGUUGUAAAGCUCUUUCGCGAGGGAAGAAAACUUAUGAUCGAAUAAAUCAUGAGGUUGACGGUACCUUGAUAAGAAGCACCGGCUAACUACGUGCCAGCAGCCGCGGUAAUACGUAGGGUGCGAGCGUUAAUCGGAAUUACUGGGCGUAAAGCGUGCGCAGGCGGUUUUGUAAGUCGGAUGUGAAAUCCCCGGGCUCAACCUGGGAACUGCGUUCGAAACUGCAAGGCUAGAGUGUGUCAGAGGGGGGUAGAAUUCCACGUGUAGCAGUGAAAUGCGUAGAGAUGUGGAGGAAUACCAAUGGCGAAGGCAGCCCCCUGGGAUAACACUGACGCUCAUGCACGAAAGCGUGGGGAGCAAACAGGAUUAGAUACCCUGGUAGUCCACGCCCUAAACGAUGUCAACUAGUUGUUGGUAGAGUAAAAUCUAUGAGUAACGUAGCUAACGCGUGAAGUUGACCGCCUGGGGAGUACGGUCGCAAGAUUAAAACUCAAGGAAUUGACGGGGGCCCGCA
Molecule: ribosomal RNA, 926 nt
Filed under: uncultured bacterium
Lineage: Bacteria
Description: bacterial SSU rRNA
Rfam family: Bacterial small subunit ribosomal RNA
Source: RNAcentral